This 84-nucleotide transfer RNA is filed under the name Actinomycetota bacterium. RNAcentral describes it as "Actinobacteria bacterium tRNA-Leu". It matches the Rfam family "tRNA". From Rfam's summary of the family: Transfer RNA (tRNA) molecules are approximately 80 nucleotides in length. Their secondary structure includes four short double-helical elements and three loops (D, anti-codon, and T loops). The record is from RNAcentral. Lineage: Bacteria; Bacillati; Actinomycetota. RNAcentral also lists the same sequence under 1 other name.
GCCGGAGUGGCGGAACUGGCAGACGCGCAGGACUCAAAAUCCUGUGUCCUUCGGGACGUGUGGGUUCGACCCCCACCUCCGGCA